UAAAAAUGUAAGUUUUCCAAAUUAUUAUUAGUUAUGAUCUUAAAAAUUAAAGAUUUUGGCGGUAUUUUAGUCUUUUCAGAGGAACCUGUUCUUUAAUCGAUAUUCCACGAUUAAUUUAACUUAAGUUAUUAGCUUGUAUAUCGUCGUAGUUGAAUAUUUUAAAAGAAUUUAAAUAUUCAAGAUUUUUUAUUAAAAAAUAAAUCAGAUCAAGGUGCAGUUUAUAUUUAAGUAGAAAUGGGUUACAAUAAAUUUAUUUAUAGUUUAGUUAAUUAAAAUUAAUUAAUAAAUUGGAUUUGAAAGUAAUUUAUUUUAUUUUAAAUAAAUGAUUUUAGCUCUAAAAUAUGU
This 345-nucleotide ribosomal RNA is filed under the name Cartodere nodifer. Its description in RNAcentral is "partial 12S ribosomal RNA". Lineage: Eukaryota; Metazoa; Arthropoda; Insecta; Coleoptera; Latridiidae. The record is from RNAcentral.